Molecule: ribosomal RNA, 358 nt
Filed under: uncultured bacterium
Lineage: Bacteria
Description: bacterial SSU rRNA
Rfam family: Bacterial small subunit ribosomal RNA
Source: RNAcentral
AGCGAACGCUGGCGGCAGGCUUAACACAUGCAAGUCGAGCGGGCGUAGCAAUACGUCAGCGGCAGACGGGUGAGUAACGCGUGGGAACAUACCUUUUGGUUCGGAACAACACAGGGAAACUUGUGCUAAUACCGGAUAAGCCCUUACGGGGAAAGAUUUAUCGCCGAAAGAUUGGCCCGCGUCUGAUUAGCUAGUUGGUGAGGUAAUGGCUCACCAAGGCGACGAUCAGUAGCUGGUCUGAGAGGAUGAUCAGCAUCACUGGGACUGAGACACGGCCCAGACUCCUACGGGAGGCAGCAGUGGGGAAUAUUGGACAAUGGGCGCAAGCCUGAUCCAGCCACGCCGCGUGAGUGAUGAA